Long non-coding RNA from Saccostrea echinata, 438 nucleotides. RefSeq lists it as uncharacterized. The record is from RefSeq and is a predicted model, not a curated record. NCBI's taxonomy places the organism in Eukaryota, Metazoa, Mollusca, Bivalvia, Ostreida, Ostreidae. The transcript has 3 exons.
ACUCAGUGCACCUACUGACUUUGCACCUCCACGACGGCGCUCAGUGUACCCAUGUCCUAGAUUUUACUGUACCUGGGAUAACCCUUCUUGUAAUGUUAGCCCUGGUCGUUUUAUGCCUUGUGUUUCCAGAAGCUAUCCAGUAACAGUACAGUCAUGUGACUGUCAGUUGUGGCUCUCAUCCAGAGGUUAAAGUAAUGCUAGUAUCCGCCUUAUACAGAAAAUAUAUCGGAAUCUUAAGAAGCUAUGAUUAGAAAAUCAUCAUCAUCAUCAUAGAGGUCGUUGUUUGGAUGAUUUCCUGUAUAUGAAGAUUCCCUAAUAAGCACUUGCGCAUGCGCUUUGCGCUUAUUAAAAUAACAUUUUUGCAUUUCUUGACAUUUUUUAGCUUUGUAACUUGUAAGCCAUUAAAAUUCCCUUUAGAAAUUAUAUUGUAACUUAAGA